UCGGGAAUUUUGGGCAAUGGGCGAAAGCCUGACCCAGCAACGCCGCGUGAAGGAUGAAGUAUUUCGGUAUGUAAACUUCGAAAGAAUAGGAAGAAUAAAUGACGGUACUAUUUAUAAGGUCCGGCUAACUACGUGCCAGCAGCCGCGGUAAUACGUAGGGACCAAGCGUUGUUCGGAUUUACUGGGCGUAAAGGGCGCGUAGGCGGCAAUUCAAGUCAUCUGUGAAAUCUCCGGGCUUAACUCGGAACGGUCAGAUGAUACUGCUUUGCUAGAGUGCAGAAGGGGCAAUCGGAAUUCUUGAUGUAGCGGUGAAAUGCGUAGAUAUCAAGAGGAACACCUGAGGUGAAGACGGGUUGCUGGGCUGGACACUGACGCUGAGGCGCGAAAGCCAGGGGAGCAAACGGGAUUAGAUACC
RNAcentral lists this ribosomal RNA (415 nucleotides) under uncultured bacterium. RNAcentral's name for it is "bacterial SSU rRNA". It matches the Rfam family "Bacterial small subunit ribosomal RNA", at positions 355 to 786 of the family's 1533-position model. The record is from RNAcentral.